RNAcentral lists this ribosomal RNA (381 nucleotides) under Triticum aestivum (bread wheat). RNAcentral describes it as "partial small subunit ribosomal RNA". The record is from RNAcentral. Lineage: Eukaryota; Viridiplantae; Streptophyta; Magnoliopsida; Poales; Poaceae.
AUGGAGACCAAGAGAGCAAGGGCUCUCUACAAUGUGGCCACUGAGCUGAUUUUCCUUUUAGACCUGGCACAAGAGGAGAGGCAAUUAACUGAUGAAGAAAACGCUCUUAGAAAGAUGCUCAAGCUAAAGCUUCUGGGGUUUGCUGCUGUGGAAAGAAUGCGGUGGCGCCAGCGCUCACGGUUAACAAGGAUCCGUGUUGGAAACGCCAAUACUAAGCUCUUUCAUCUACGGGCAAAUGGGAGGAGGAGGAAGAAUCACAUACCUACCCUUCAGGGGCCUUCCGGCAUGGUCCACGAGCACACUGAGAAAGCCAAAAUUCCGCUUGAUCACUUCAAGUCGCUAAUGGGGAAGGCACAACAUCGCAGCCACACAAUAAACUAG